GCACACCCUCUGACGGGUCUUCCACGCGCCGGUUCCGAGUUGGAAUCCCACCCAGUCCUGUUGUUGUGAUCUCAAUUCAAGAGGAAGGUGUGAUAUGGCGUCUGUCUGGGUUGGACACCGAGGGACAAUGAGAGAUCAUCCAGGCUUUAACCCAUCUGUGGAUGCUGAGGCGAUUCAUAAGGCAGUCAGAGAAAUCGGAACUGAUGAGAAGACGCACAUCAGCAUUCUGACUGAGAGGUCGAAUGUACAGCGGCAGCUGACUGUUAAGGAAUAUCAAGCAGCAUAUGGAAAGGCUCAGCCUCUAGAGGAUCACAGAGAAGGAGGCUUGUUGUGAAACUGAGUCAGAAGGAUGCUCUUAUAGCAGACUUUCAAGACAACCCUUAGCCCGGGAUAACAACCAGAGGAUGACUGGCCUGAGAACUUGGUAUUCCAGAAAGCAGAAUUCAGGUGGCAGAACCUGUGGACCCAAAAGGAGCAGUUGCACUGGCAGGGACUAGGUGGACCUCGGGUCGCCAUGGAAAACUCUUGGUGGAGCACAGGCAAGAGUUGGGGCGGGAGGACCUGCACCCCAUAAGAAAUACCCACCAGCUCUCAGAUCCUCGAGGGUUGUAGGAGCACCGAGACAUUCAAGCUGGGAAAUGAAGACUGUGAUAGGGCAGAGCGAGACCCAAGCUUCCCCGGGCAAUGGCAGCGUGAGCUCCUGUCCAACUGCCAAAAGAUGAGAGUUGGCAUCUUACCAGAAGGUUUGGAGGGAUAGGAUGAGAGACGCCUGGCCAUUGGCCGGAAGCGCAUGGCGGGGGAGGGGGUUGCGGAAGCUGCCUCGUGAUUGGCCCGGGCCACGGGGAUGUCACAGGGAGGCAUUGUGACUUGAGGGCAAGGCAGUUAUAAAAGCCCAGUGCUUCCACCGUCUCCCAGACGGAGGAUAUGGCUUUUCAGCUGUUCCUGCUCUUGCUCUUCAAGGCGGUGUCCUCUGCCGCCUUCUCUGCACCUGCACAUGGCAUGCCCCAGGCCCACCUGUCCUGCCCCGGGCCUCUCACCCACACUUGGUGUACCACAUUCCUGUUCGCAUCCAGCUUUGAGCCCCUUUGCGGGCGGAUGAGCCUGCGCACCCGCACCCGGCGCCUCCUCCACCCGCAGCCCUCCUCGGGCCUGGCCCAGCUCCUCAACACUGUGCUCAGGUUCUACAACAGGGGCUUGGACGUCUGGAACCAGAACCAAGCAGACCCCCACGCGGAGGGGAAGCAGCCCUCCCAGCCCUGUUGGCCAAGAGACCUGGACACGUGCCACGCCUCCAACUCCACACUGCACAGAAGGCAGCUGGCCACCCCUCCUCAGACAUCCAUGGACCCCAGAUCCAAGAUCUCCACCUUGGCCCUCCUGCUCCACAAAGGAGAGUCACAGACUCACAGGGCGAGUUCCUGUACCUCCUGCCCACCUCCAUGCAACCUCUCAAAGGGCUCUCCAGCCCAUGUGGGACCACCAGCCUGGGUGAGGCGACUGGUCCAGUUAGGGCCACCAGUCCUGGCAGGGCCAAAAGUCCAGGCAAGGCGACCAGCCCAGGUGGGACCACCAGCCCAGGUGAGGACACCAGCCCAGGAAGGACCAGCAGCCCAGAUGGGACCAGUGGCCCUGGUGAUGCUACCACCACAGGUGGGACCAACAGCCCAUGUGGGGACGUUUCCCCAGGCAGGAGCAACAGCCCAAGUGGGGCCACCAAGCCUUGCGGGACCAAUGGCCCCAAUAGGGACAGCAGCCCAGGUGAUGGGGCCACUAGACCAGGCCACGACUCCAGCUGAUGCCAGGCUACCAGCCCAGGCAGGCCCAGCAUACCAGGUGGGGCCACCACUCCAGGCAAGUCCACCCGCCCAGAUGUGUCCGUCACCCCAGGCGAGGCUACCAACCCAGGUGGGGACACCAGCUCCUCUGGUGCCACCAGCCCAGUCAGGUCCACCAGCCCAGGUGGGGCCAACACCCCAGGCGGGGACACCAGCCCAGGCAGGGACACCAGGAUCGGCGAGGAUACCAGCCCAGGCGGAACCAACAUGCCAGGCCAGGCCAACAGCCCAGACGGGGACACCAGCCAUGACAGAAACCCUGUGGUCACAGCUAGGCUUUGGAAACAUUGAGAGUUUGCUCCUUCUGUUGACUCGCUGUGCUCUGGUGCUGCUCUUUUCCUUCUGGACAUUUAUCUCAUGCAGAGAGAUAAAGGACUACCGUGAGUUCCAACAAGAGCAGCUGGCAGAGCUGGGCAAAGGAUUGAAGAUGAUGGGUAAAGCCCUGGGAGAACUUGAGAAGACACUAAAUGCAGAAAGAGAACAUAAAAAUCAUCUUUCCAAGGAGCUGUCUGAGCUGAAGGCAGAGCUCAGAAUUUCUGAAAAGGAAACAGAGAGAUGGAAAAAGCUGUUUUUUCUAUUGUCCCGGGCACAACACCUUUUGAAGGCCUUCCCGGAAGAUGCAAAGGGGCACUGUGUGCAGGUGGAGCAGGGCCCUUAGAGGCAGGCCCAGGCCUGGGAGCUGGAGAGUUUCUUCCUCCCUGUGCACGCCCCCUAGAGGGGGAGAAGAGGGGUGGGGAGGGAGGGCAAAGCGGAGGCUAGGGUAGGGGUGCUGGGACAGAGACGUGGCCUGAAUUUCAUGAUGUAUGUAUAUUUUGAAUAAAUAAUUGAAUGUUGGAAGG
This 2674-nucleotide long non-coding RNA is filed under the name Sus scrofa (pig). RNAcentral describes it as "lncRNA (ENSSSCG00000050540.2)". The record is from RNAcentral. Lineage: Eukaryota; Metazoa; Chordata; Mammalia; Artiodactyla; Suidae.